CAGUGGGGAAUAUUGCACAAUGGGGGAAACCCUGAUGCAGCGACGCCGCGUGAGUGAAGAAGUAUUUCGGUAUGUAAAGCUCUAUCAGCAGGGAAGAAAUACUGACCAUAGGGUCAGCAGACGGUACUUGACUAAGAAGCCCCGGCUAACUACGUGCCAGCAGCCGCGGUAAUACGUAGGGGGCAAGCGUUAUCCGGAUUUACUGGGUGUAAAGGGAGCGUAGACGG
RNAcentral lists this ribosomal RNA (227 nucleotides) under Klebsiella pneumoniae. Its description in RNAcentral is "partial 16S ribosomal RNA". It matches the Rfam family "Bacterial small subunit ribosomal RNA", at positions 352 to 578 of the family's 1533-position model. Lineage: Bacteria; Pseudomonadati; Pseudomonadota; Gammaproteobacteria; Enterobacterales; Enterobacteriaceae. The record is from RNAcentral.